Long non-coding RNA from Triticum dicoccoides, 2609 nucleotides. RefSeq lists it as uncharacterized. The record is from RefSeq and is a predicted model, not a curated record. NCBI's taxonomy places the organism in Eukaryota, Viridiplantae, Streptophyta, Magnoliopsida, Poales, Poaceae. The transcript has 3 exons.
ACGUCAGCCCACAAACUCGUUCGGGAUGAAACGAACUCUCCCGAACGCCGUCCACUCCUCUGCCUCACUCCUUUUCCCCACUCUUCCCCUAUCCUCCCCCGGCUGCCUCUAAUACGGUGAGGCCCGCGGAUCCCGGCGACUCCCGGCGAGUAGCCCGCGCUAGAUGCGUGGUAGGAGAGCCCCGGAUGGCGGUAGAUGGCUGGAUCCCACCCAAGCACGCCAGGGCACGGAGACGAACCGUGCGGCCGUCUUCAUGAGUGGCGGCUCGCCGGAGGCCGGGCGGCCGCGUGGGUAUGACCGGGUCAAGGCGCUCACCGCCGAUCGCGCGCGCCUGGAAGCGGAGAACGAGAGGCCCUCCAUGCGCGGCCGUCUUCAUGAGCCGCGGCUCGCCGGAGACCGGGCGGUGGCGUGUGUAUGACCGGGUCGAGCCGCUUGUCGCCGACCACGCGCGCCUGGAAGCGGAGAACGAGGCCCUCCACGCGCGACCGUCUCCAUGAGCGGCGGCUCGCCAGAGGCCGGGCGGCGGCGUGGUUACGUCCGGGUCGAGGCGCUCGCUGCCGACCGCUCGCCGCGUUUUCUACAAAUUGUGCAGCUCGUGUCUAAGGAGCCCUAUUCCCCCGAUGAAUUCGCAUGCGUGAUGCAUCCUCACGAAUCUCAUCUUCUGUAGGUAAACACAUCUCACCUACCCUUUAUUUGGACUAUUGAGGAAUCGCGUAACAGAUUGGUUCGUGCCCUGGUUCCAUUGAAUUUUUUUUCUUCUUGUGAGCUUGUGAGUCCUAUGCUUCUAUUUCUUCCCUCAGGUCAUGUUGACUCUUGUGCAUGGAUUGAUAAUUGAGAAAGAAAUCAAUGAAUUCUAGAAGAAAUCGCUUGCCAAUGUCACGGGUCCAUAUGAUUCUGCUAUGACCACGAUGGCAACAAUGAAACAAAUAUACCAAUGCCUUUAAAGAAGAGAAGUGAAUUCAGAAAAAGUUAAGCAUGGGAAUGUAUAAACCAACUUAUGUUAUGAUCGAGCAACCAGGGAUCGCACAUCACAGCUCCAAAAACACAAUGGUGCCAUGGGGUAAUUUUUAUCAUUUACUUCUUCAACACAAAUAUCAGUUUUUUGGUGCUUGUUGAAAGAGCUGCGUGGAUCUUCCAUGAUUCCUCCCAAGGUGAUAUAAUCUAUUUCUAUCUCUAUCUUCUUUUAUUUUGCGUGUGAUAUUUCUCUGUUUCGGUUGCAAAUCAAUAGAUUUGGAAGUAGUGCUAUCGGUGGAUGCAAAUCCAUCGACCUGUAAGUGAUGUUGAUGCUAGAUGUUUAGUUUUGCUCUAUAUGUAUAAAUCUGUGCUUGAAAACUGAUUGAAUUGAUCAGAUUACCACUUGUAUUUGUUCUUUGCCUGAUAUCAUGUGCAAAUGCUCUGACACUUCUUGUUCAUGACUUCUUAUAGUGUAGCCCAUUCAUGAGAACGUAUAUGCACUUCUUGUUCUUGUUGAGAUUAUACACUACCAAAAAGGGAUGAUUUCAUCGAUUCAACAUUGGUAAGGAAAAUUGUGCUACUGGUAAGAACAGAUGCUUCACAUAAUCAUUUCUUCCUCGUUUGUCCUCCUAAUAAGAAUAGGUACAUGCUGAAUGCGUUUCUUUCUGGCUCAUGGUUAAAACAGAUGUUCUUUUUGCAUUUUUCUGCUGGUAAGAGUAGAUGCAUCGGUCGAGUCUUCUCUUUUUGUAUUUUUUAUUGAGUAAAGCUGCUUAACCUGGGUGUAUCUUUUGUUGGUCUCUUCUGAAGUGAUGUUACACAUGUAGAUAAAUACAAGAAAUUAUGAGGCCAAUUCAUAUAUACACUUGUCAUUGUGAAAUUAUGUCUCAAAUUCUUUGACAAUGAUAAAAUAACUAUGUUUGUGCAUGCCUAGGAUCUUGUGCCACACUCAUUGCUAUGAGACUUGCAUUUUGGUUUCAUGUUUCUGCAGUACUAUUGUAACAUACUCCCGCUGUCCUUGAAAGAUUGUACUUCCAACUUUGUUGGAGGGUUAAACUAUCUCUAAGUUUGACCGAGUUUGUGGAAAAAUUUAUCAAUGUUUAUGAAACCAAAUAGGUAUAUGAUGAAAAUAUAUCGUGUCAUGAAUCUAAUUCUACUAAUUUGAUGGCAUAAAUGUUGAUGUAUUAUUGUAUAAAUACGGUCAAACAUAAUAAAAUUUGACUUUCCAACAAAGUUGAAAGUAUACUCUUUUAAGGACGGAGGGAGUAUAUGCUUUGUGUUUAUCUCUUCUUAAUGAAGGUGAUCAAGAAAUUGUUGAAAACAAGUUACUGCAAAGAGGCUGUAUGGUGCAAAGUUUACAUGUCAAAUAGACGCCGAAGUCAACCUAUAUUUACAAUGCAGGGACGGGCGCGGCAACGCGUCUUCAUGGUCUAGUAUAUAUAAAAAACUUGCCUACUACGUUGCAUACAUGCGUGCUAGGGCAACAGAGUCUGUGUCCAACUUCGAUGAGGUUUGGUAUCAUUUUCUUCGGACAACUUUUCUUUUGCGGGGAAUUUCUUCGGACAACUUGAUUUGUCAUAUAACGGCCACUGAAAUUUUUCAUCGCUACAUAUGUAGUUGCUUAUAAAAUCUCUCGGUCGCGCAUACCGUUUGGUCAA